RNAcentral lists this ribosomal RNA (1042 nucleotides) under Escherichia coli. Its description in RNAcentral is "partial 23S ribosomal RNA". It matches the Rfam family "Bacterial large subunit ribosomal RNA", at positions 1 to 1075 of the family's 2925-position model. The record is from RNAcentral. Lineage: Bacteria; Pseudomonadati; Pseudomonadota; Gammaproteobacteria; Enterobacterales; Enterobacteriaceae.
GGGUUGUGAGGUUAAGCGACUAAGCGUACACGGUGGAUGCCCUGGCAGUCAGAGGCGAUGAAGGACGUGCUAAUCUGCGAUAAGCGUCGGUGAGGUGAUAUGAACCGUUAUAACCGGCGAUUUCCGAAUGGGGAAACCCAGUGUGUUUCGACACACUAUCAUUAACUGAAUCCAUAGGUUAAUGAGGCGAACCGGGGGAACUGAAACAUCUAAGUACCCCGAGGAAAAGAAAUCAACCGAGAUUCCCCCAGUAGCGGCGAGCGAACGGGGAGGAGCCCAGAGCCUGAAUCAGUGUGUGUGUUAGUGGAAGCGUCUGGAAAGGCGUGCGAUACAGGGUGACAGCCCCGUACACAAAAAUGCACAUAUUGUGAGCUCGAUGAGUAGGGCGGGACACGUGGUAUCCUGUCUGAAUAUGGGGGGACCAUCCUCCAAGGCUAAAUACUCCUGACUGACCGAUAGUGAACCAGUACCGUGAGGGAAAGGCGAAAAGAACCCCGGCGAGGGGAGUGAAAAAGAACCUGAAACCGUGUACGUACAAGCAGUGGGAGCCUCUUAAUGGGGUGACUGCGUACCUUUUGUAUAAUGGGUCAGCGACUUAUAUUCUGUAGCAAGGUUAACCGAAUAGGGGAGCCGAAGGGAAACCGAGUCUUAACUGGGCGUUAAGUUGCAGGGUAUAGACCCGAAACCCGGUGAUCUAGCCAUGGGCAGGUUGAAGGUUGGGUAACACUAACUGGAGGACCGAACCGACUAAUGUUGAAAAAUUAGCGGAUGACUUGUGGCUGGGGGUGAAAGGCCAAUCAAACCGGGAGAUAGCUGGUUCUCCCCGAAAGCUAUUUAGGUAGCGCCUCGUGAAUUCAUCUCCGGGGGUAGAGCACUGUUUCGGCAAGGGGGUCAUCCCGACUUACCAACCCGAUGCAAACUGCGAAUACCGGAGAAUGUUAUCACGGGAGACACACGGCGGGUGCUAACGUCCGUCGUGAAGAGGGAAACAACCCAGACCGCCAGCUAAGGUCCCAAAGUCAUGGUUAAGUGGGAAACGAUG